Molecule: ribosomal RNA, 421 nt
Filed under: uncultured bacterium
Lineage: Bacteria
Description: partial 16S ribosomal RNA
Rfam family: Bacterial small subunit ribosomal RNA
Source: RNAcentral
AAUAUUGGACACUGGGGGCAACCCUGUUCCAGCCAUGCCGCGUGUGUGAAGAAGGUCUUCGGAUUGUAAAGCACUUUAAGUUGGGAGGAAGGGCAGUAAGUUACUACCCUGAAGUUUUGACGUUACCAACAGAAUGAGCACCGGCUAACUCUGUGCCAGCAGCCGCGGUAAUACAGAGGUUGCAAGCGUUAAUCGGAAUUAUUGUGAGUAAAGAGCGGGUAGGUGGUUCAGUAAGAUGGGUGUGAAAUCCCCGGGCUUAACCUGGGAACUGCUUUCAUAACUGCUGGGCUAGAGUACGGUAGAGGGUAGUGGAAUUUCCUGUGUAGCGGUGAAAUGCGUAGAUAUAGGAAGGAACACCAGUGGCGAAGGCGACUACCUGGACUGAUACUGACACUGAGGUGCGAAAGCGUGGGGAGCAAAC